Molecule: ribosomal RNA, 644 nt
Filed under: uncultured bacterium
Lineage: Bacteria
Description: bacterial SSU rRNA
Rfam family: Bacterial small subunit ribosomal RNA
Source: RNAcentral
GCGGCCUAUCAGCUUGUUGGUGGGGUAAUGGCCUACCAAGGCGACGACGGGUAGCCGGCCUGAGAGGGUGACCGGCCACACUGGGACUGAGACACGGCCCAGACUCCUACGGGAGGCAGCAGUGGGGAAUAUUGCACAAUGGGCGCAAGCCUGAUGCAGCGACGCCGCGUGAGGGAUGACGGCCUUCGGGUUGUAAACCUCUUUCAGUAGGGAAGAAGCCGUGAGGUGACGGUACCUGCAGAAGAAGCGCCGGCUAACUAUGUGCCAGCAGCCGCGGUAAUACGUAGGGUGCGAACGUUGUCCGGAAUUACUGGGCGUAAAGAGCUCGUAGGUGGUUUGUCGCGUUGUUCGUGAAAUGCCACAGCUUAACUGUGGGCGUGCGGGCGAUACGGGCAGACUGGAGUACUGCAGGGGAGACUGGAAUUCCUGGUGUAGCGGUGGAAUGCGCAGAUAUCAGGAGGAACACCGGUGGCGAAGGCGGGUCUCUGGGCAGUAACUGACGCUGAGGAGCGAAAGCGUGGGGAGCGAACAGGAUUAGAUACCCUGGUAGUCCACGCCGUAAACGGUGGGUACUAGGUGUGGGUUUCCUUCCUUGGGAUCCGUGCCGUAGCUAACGCAUUAAGUACCCCGCCUGGGGAGUACGG